GACGAACGCUGGCGGCGUGCUUAACACAUGCAAGUCGAACGAUGAAGCCCAGCUUGCUGGGUGGAUUAGUGGCGAACGGGUGAGUAACACGUGGGUGAUCUGCCCUGCACUCUGGGAUAAGCCUGGGAAACUGGGUCUAAUACCGGAUAUGACCUCUUGCUGCAUGGCGAGGGGUGGAAAGUUUUUCGGUGCAGGAUGAGCCCGCGGCCUAUCAGCUUGUUGGUGGGUAAUGGCCUACCAAGGCGACGACGGGUAGCCGGCCUGAGAGGCGACCGGCCACACUGGGACUGAGACACGGCCCAGACUCCUACGGGAGGCAGCAGUGGGGAAUAUUGCACAAUGGGCGAAAGCCUGAUGCAGCGACGCCGCGUGAGGGAUG
This 379-nucleotide ribosomal RNA is filed under the name uncultured bacterium. RNAcentral's name for it is "bacterial SSU rRNA". It matches the Rfam family "Bacterial small subunit ribosomal RNA", at positions 28 to 410 of the family's 1533-position model. The record is from RNAcentral.